Molecule: long non-coding RNA, 925 nt
Organism: Carya illinoinensis
Lineage: Eukaryota; Viridiplantae; Streptophyta; Magnoliopsida; Fagales; Juglandaceae
Exons: 6
Source: RefSeq, a predicted model, not a curated record
CUUUCCAGAUAGUGAGACUCAGUUCUCUCCGCCGUCUCUCUGCUUUGUGCUAGUUGCUUAAGUCGUUGAUUCAGCUGUUGUGCCCUCUCGAUGCCGCCAUCGUUGAGAUUCAUAAUGUUGAAGAAAUCGUGAAAACAGUAAUGAAGGAUGGUGAGACAUCACCAUGUUGUGAAAACUGUACAAUAUUUACAACCUAAGCUGUUGGAUGAGAAGCAGACUACUAUUUAUAAGAGAGCUGUUGACAGGAACUACCAUUUGAAAAUGAAAGCAUCGAGGUUUAUUUUCAGUGAAAUAAGUCAGAAAUUUCCCAUCACGCCAUUCACUGCUUGGGCUCUGGAGGAGGAGGGCUCGGCUGGGUUUGGUGGAAUGUGUUAAUCAUGACCUCUUACAGCCAUAUCCUAUGCUUCAUGAGAAGCCUGACGAUUUUGUUGCACACAUCAAAUUCACAGUUUUACUAAUGCCAAAUGGGUAAGAUCGGAUUACAUCUCAUUCUCUGCAAGAACUGCAACCCACAAAGACAAUAGAUGAUCCUGAAAUCAAGGCGUGGUUAGCCUUGGGCACAAAGACAAAGAAGAAAGGUGGUGGAAAGAAGAAGAAAAGUAAAAAGGGAGACAAAACAGAGGAGUCAACAGAAACGGAGCCUAUGGAUUCUACAACAAAUGGUGCCGCUUCCCAAGAAUGAGUUUCCCCACCCUCCCCCCCCUCCCAUUUCUCGACCCGCGCCCUGUCAAUUUUGGUACUUAUUGUCCAGUUCAUUGUAUCAGGUUGGAUGAGUUGGUUUAUGAUAGUGUUUAGACUGUAAUCCUGAUUGUGUUUUCCUGCGUAUACGCCUUUUUGUGUCUUUUUCAAGUGUUCCUAAUGUCUUACACAAUUUAGAGGCACAGAAGGUUGGUUUCGAUCGACCAUAAGAGGCGGGUGUUGUGUG